UUAAUUGAAGCCAAAGGGAGAGGCACCUCAAUGUUAAUGAGGGAGAUGAUUUUAAUUAAUCCGAUUAAA
This 69-nucleotide transfer RNA is filed under the name Nesophrosyne sp. 48 GMB-2012. RNAcentral describes it as "tRNA-Asn". Lineage: Eukaryota; Metazoa; Arthropoda; Insecta; Hemiptera; Cicadellidae. The record is from RNAcentral.